This 734-nucleotide long non-coding RNA is filed under the name Capsella rubella. RNAcentral describes it as "long non-coding RNA (CRUB_LNC000112)". The record is from RNAcentral. Lineage: Eukaryota; Viridiplantae; Streptophyta; Magnoliopsida; Brassicales; Brassicaceae.
GAGAAGAAAGAUUGUUGAAAUUUGGUUUCAAAUGGUAUAAGAACCCAAAACCAUUGCUUUGAGGCAAAGAAUGGAUUAGAUAAAGUUAUUUUGGGUUAUAAUAUGUUAUAAUACAAUGAAUUUGAUUGAUUACAAGUGCUAGAGAUGCAUGAAGAAUGUUUAGAAGUGAGAAGAAACACUUGUUGAAAUUUGGUCUCAAAUGGGAUAAGAAUCCAAAACCAUUGCUUUGAGGCAGUGAAUGGCUUGUAUAAAGUUAUUUUGGGUUAGAAUAUGUUAUAAUACAAUGAAUUUGAUUGAUUACAAGUGCUAGAGAUGCAUGAAGAAUGUUUAGAAGUGAGAAGAAAGAUUGUUGAUAUUUGGUCCCCAAUGGGAUAAGAACCUAAAACCAUUGCUUUGAGGCAGUGAAUGGCUUGUAUAAAGUUAUUUUGGGUUAGAAUAUGUUAUCCUAUAAUGAAUUUCAUUGAUUACAAGUGCUAGAGAUGCAUAAAAAUGUUUCGAAAUGAGAAGAAAGACUUGUUGAUAUUUGGUCCCAAAUGGGAUAAGAACCCAAAACCAUUGCUUUGAGGCAAUGAAUGGCUUGUAUAAAGUUAUUUUAGGUUAGAAUAUGUUAAAAUACAAUGAAUUUGAUUGAUUACAAGUGCUAGAGAUGCAUGAAGAAUGUUUAGAAGUGAGAAGAAAGACUUGUUGAAAUUUGGUCUCCAUGGGAUAAGAACCCAAAACCAUUGCUUUGAGGC